This 138-nucleotide small nuclear RNA is filed under the name Vicugna pacos (alpaca). RNAcentral's name for it is "U1 spliceosomal RNA (ENSVPAG00000018092.1)". Lineage: Eukaryota; Metazoa; Chordata; Mammalia; Artiodactyla; Camelidae. The record is from RNAcentral.
GUACUUACCUGGAAGGGGAGAUAAAAGGAUCAGGAAGAUGGUUUUCCCAAGGUGAGGCUUAUCCAUUGCUUGGCAAUCUUGAGCGAAUCAUUGGACCUCUCCUUCCUCUACUGAGAAUGAUGACUUUAGUAAGUGAUC